UUAUGUAGGGGUAUUUACGGCA
RNAcentral lists this non-coding RNA (22 nucleotides) under Arabidopsis thaliana (thale cress). The record is from RNAcentral. Lineage: Eukaryota; Viridiplantae; Streptophyta; Magnoliopsida; Brassicales; Brassicaceae.